CACUGGGAGAUUCUAAUUCUCAGCAAUGCCUGCCCAGUGCGAUUAAAAGUCGUAAACGGCCGCCCUAGCGUGAGGGUGCUAAGGUAGCGAAAUUCCUUGCCUUUUAAUUGUAGGCCUGCAUGAAUGGCUUGACGAGGGCUUAACUGUCUCUGGUUUAUGAAGUUUAAAUUGGGUUAAAGGUGAAGAUACCUUUAUAUAAAAGUAAGACAAGAAGACCCCGUGCAACUUUUAAAGUCAAUUUAUUAAGAAAUUUAAGAUUUUUAGGUGGGGCGCCUACUGAGUAAUAACAACCUCUGUGUAUGAUGAAACUUUCGAGUGUAGACCCGACAAUGUCGAUCAUAGGAGAAGUUACGCCGGGGAUAACAGGCUAAUUCACUAGUAGAGAACGUAUUGGCUAGUGGGAUUGGCACCUCGAUGUUGAAUCAGGGAUGAUAUCUUUAAGGCGUAGAAGCUUUAAAAGUGGGUCUGUUCGACCUUUAAUACCCU
RNAcentral lists this ribosomal RNA (486 nucleotides) under Teskeyostrea weberi. Its description in RNAcentral is "partial 16S ribosomal RNA". It matches the Rfam family "Bacterial large subunit ribosomal RNA", at positions 1816 to 2597 of the family's 2925-position model. Lineage: Eukaryota; Metazoa; Mollusca; Bivalvia; Ostreida; Ostreidae. The record is from RNAcentral.